AUGAAACACUCCUACGGGAGGCAGCAGUAGGGAAUAUUGCGCAAUGGGGGAAACCCUGACGCAGCAACGCCGCGUGGAGGAUGACACUUUUCGGAGCGUAAACUCCUUUUGUUAGGGAAGAAUAAUGACGGUACCUAACGAAUAAGCACCGGCUAACUCCGUGCCAGCAGCCGCGGUAAUACGGAGGGUGCAAGCGUUACUCGGAAUCACUGGGCGUAAAGGACGCGUAGGCGGAUUAUCAAGUCUCUUGUGAAAUCUAACGGCUCAACCGUUAAACUGCUUGGGAAACUGAUAAUCUAGAGUAAGGGAGAGGCAGAUGGAAUUCUUGGUGUAGGGGUAAAAUCCGUAGAUAUCAAGAAGAAUACCUAUUGCGAAGGCGAUCUGCUGGAACUUAACUGACGCUAAUGCGUGAAAGCGUGGGGAGCAAACAGGAUUAGAUACCCGUGUAGUCCGAAGUUC
This 459-nucleotide ribosomal RNA is filed under the name uncultured bacterium. Its description in RNAcentral is "bacterial SSU rRNA". It matches the Rfam family "Bacterial small subunit ribosomal RNA", at positions 328 to 802 of the family's 1533-position model. The record is from RNAcentral.